UCGAGCGGUAGCACAGAGAGCUUGCUCUCGGGUGACGAGCGGCGGACGGGUGAGUAAUGUCUGGGAAACUGCCUGAUGGAGGGGGAUAACUACUGGAAACGGUAGCUAAUACCGCAUAAUGUCGCAAGACCAAAGAGGGGGACCUUCGGGCCUCUUGCCAUCAGAUGUGCCCAGAUGGGAUUAGCUAGUAGGUGGGGUAACGGCUCACCUAGGCGACGAUCCCUAGCUGGUCUGAGAGGAUGACCAGCCACACUGGAACUGAGACACGGUCCAGACUCCUACGGGAGGCAGCAGUGGGGAAUAUUGCACAAUGGGCGCAAGCCUGAUGCAGCCAUGCCGCGUGUAUGAAGAAGGCCUUCGGGUUGUAAAGUACUUUCAGCGGGGAGGAAGGUGCUGAGGUUAAUAACCUCAGCAAUUGACGUUACCCGCAG
Molecule: ribosomal RNA, 431 nt
Filed under: Gammaproteobacteria bacterium
Lineage: Bacteria; Pseudomonadati; Pseudomonadota; Gammaproteobacteria
Description: bacterial SSU rRNA
Rfam family: Bacterial small subunit ribosomal RNA
Source: RNAcentral